GGGCCCGCACAAGCGGUGGAGCAUGUGGUUUAAUUCGAUGCAACGCGAAGAACCUUACCUACUCUUGACAUCCAGAGAAGCCAGCGGAGACGCAGGUGUGCCUUCGGGAGCUCUGAGACAGGUGCUGCAUGGCUGUCGUCAGCUCGUGUUGUGAAAUGUUGGGUUAAGUCCCGCAACGAGCGCAACCCUUAUCCUUGUUUGCCAGCGAGUAAUGUCGGGAACUCCAGGGAGACUGCCGGUGAUAAACCGGAGGAAGGUGGGGACGACGUCAAGUCAUCAUGGCCCUUACGAGUAGGGCUACACACGUGCUACAAUGGCGUAUACAGAGGGCAGCAAGCUAGCGAUAGUGAGCGAAUCCCAAAAAGUGCGUCGUAGUCCGGAUUGGAGUCUGCAACUCGACUCCAUGAAGUCGGAAUCGCUAGUAAUCG
This 428-nucleotide ribosomal RNA is filed under the name uncultured bacterium. RNAcentral describes it as "bacterial SSU rRNA". It matches the Rfam family "Bacterial small subunit ribosomal RNA", at positions 917 to 1344 of the family's 1533-position model. The record is from RNAcentral.